GUGGCCUUUCUUCUGGAUCUCCUACUUCCCACGGUCGAAAGCUCCAAUUCGAUGAAAAAAACAUCCAGCAGUACGAAGCCAUUAUCGGUUUCUUGAAAUCUCAUGGAUUCGAGAAUUCACAGAUCGCCAAGUUGGUCUCGAAGCAACCUUCCAUCCUUCAAUCCAAAGUAUCCACCAAUCUGAAGCCUAAAUUUGAGUUCCUCCAGGAAGUCGGUUUCGUCGGUCCUUUACUUCCUAAGGUAAUUCUAACAAGCCCUGCGAUUCUUCUCAGGAGCUUAGAUUCUCAGUUGAAACCAUCAUUUCGUUUCAUGAAGGAAAUGCUUGAACCGGAUGAAAAGGUAACUACUGCUAUUUGUCGUUAUUCAAGGCUUCUGACUUGUAAUAUUAAGGGUAAUUUUAAAUCUAUCGUUGAUGUUUUGGUCAGUGAAGGAGUACCUUCUAAGAAUAUAGCCAAAAUGAUUGCAUAUAAGCCUACAACUAUUAUGCAUAAGGUUGACAGAACGAUUCAUGCAGUGAAAACGGUUAAAGAAUUAGGCAUUGAACCAGAAGCUCGCAUGUUUGUUUAUGCAGUUUUAGUGAGGCUUUCAAUGAGUGAUUCAACUUGGAAGAAGAAAAUAAAUGUUAUGAAGAGUUUAGGAUGGUCUGAGAAGGAGAUUUUUACCGCAUUUAAGAAAUAUCCACUUUAUUUAACUUGUUCAGAGGAGAAAUUGAGGGAUGUUGCAGAUUUCUGUUUCAACACUGCAAAGUUGGAUCCAGGAAGUGUAAUUAUUUACCCGAAGUUCUUCAAAUGUUCAGUCAACGAGCGGCUCCAACCGCGGUACAAAGUUCUUGAGGCUUUGAAGGUGAAAAAUCUUCUUAAGAGCAAAAAGAUUGCGUGGUUGCUUGUAGAAGGGGAGAGAAUUUUUUUGGAGAACUAUGUUCUUAAGUAUUUGGAUGAAAUCCCAAAUCUUAUGGACAUAUACCGGGGCAAUGUCGUAGCCGAAACCAAAUCUGCUCCAUAGGAUUGGAAAAUUGUAAGUUAAAAUCUUCUCAAAGUCUAAAUUUCAGCAUAAUGAUCUUCAAAUGAGAGAGCAUCUUUCUUGUUAUUGAGUCUACUGUUUCAAACAACACUGCUUCUUGAGCUUUUCAAGAUCUCUCCCUUUUUUCAAGUGGGAGAAAUCUGUUGUCUUCCCUCCCAAUUCGAGGUAUUGCCUAAAUAUUUUGCUAUAUAUUUCUUGGACCUGUUAAUUGCUUGGUUGUGUAUGAUUAAUGUUGAAAUGGGAGACCUUUUGUUUUUCCCUUCCUCAUCUUUUUCUUGAACUUUUUAAGCUUUGUAGACACAACCGUUUAGUAUCGAUAACAGGAUGAUUACUAGGACGAGGGACUAAUUCCUAUACAUUACUUGCAUUGCAAUUUAACCAUAAAUCACCCAAUUCAGCCUCUUUAAAAGAUUUUGGUUGAAUUUUAGAUACAAAAGCAAUGCUAUUCAAUGCAUUUAAAGAAGAGCAAGUUCUUAUCCCUUGUGAUACAUCACCUAUUAUUAGUUCUUGAGGAUGAUGAGUAGAGAGAAUGCCAAUGUCAGUUUUGGGUUCAAACUUUUCAAGUUUUCCUUUGUCUUACAGAAUGAAACAAUUGCAACCAAACACCUUUGAAAGAGUUGAAAUGAUGUUGAAAUGGGGAUGCUUUUUUUUUUUUUCAUUCCAAUUGUGAGAUGAGACAUGAGAGUUGUAGAUAAAGCUUAUGCUUUGUGUUUGUAAGGUAGAGGAGAAUUGAAUGAAAUAUUGUAGUUGAAGGAAGGGAUGUAUUAUUUGCUAUUCCAAAUAACAAUCUUAUUGUUUUGCCAAUUUGAAUAGCAGAGUUAAAGUUCCAAUUCUUUUUUAUUCCUACUUUUAUGUAAGAAAAGAUCGAACAACCUUUAACUUUUAUUCCUUAACAAUGCAUUUAGUACAAAAACAUAAUGAUACAACACACAACCAAAAGAUAAAAAUCAACCCUUAAAUUUAAACAUCUUGCAGCUUCUCGCUUAGCAAACCCAAACUUCCUCUUUUCUUUGGUCUUUAACACUUAAGCCCUGAAAGAUAAAUUUUAAGCAAUAAGUCUAAAGACUUAGUGAGGUUUUAUGAAAUCAUUUUUGCAAUACAUUUUUAUGUACAUCAAUAACAUCAAAAUAUUUCAUUUCGGAUAAACAUUUAUUUAUGCUUUACAAUCAAAUCGCAUAAACAAACAUUAGUCAAAUACUCUUUUCGCCAAUGAUCCUGAAUCGUUCUUUAGGCUUGGUCUCAUUAUCUCAUGUUUGACUAUUGUAUCAAUAGCAUCCGAGAACAUAUAGAUAUAUCCUUGUUGUUCAAGCCGCUAAGCUUUAUACGAUGCUUUCAACGCAUAAGCUCGCUUUUUUCAUCAUGUGGUUCAUACACCCCACACUCCAUGAUGAUCUUGACUCUUUAUGUGCACAUAAAAAUUAACAUCAAAUCAUACUUUAUCAAAUCAAGCUUCCACCAUUAUAAAUCACGCUUGAAACACAUAAACUUUUCAUAUAAAUCAUUUUCGAAAUUCUUUUGUCUUUGAAAUCGUUCUUCAAAACAGUAAAGUGAAAUCACAUAAACCAUUCAAGAAAAUCACUCACAGAUCGCAUAUCAAAUCCUUGGUCGAUAAAUUUGCCCGAUUUCUUAUUGUCCUCAAAAUUUCAGCGAAAGAUUCAAUCGAAUGUGUCUUGUAACCUCCUUGGAGUAAAGACUCUUCACUUUUUACACGAGAAUGAUAUUCCUCUCUUCUUUUAACUCAAACUUAACUUUUCCUUGUUCAAAUUAAACAAGCAGCCCUAAUAUAGAAAAUAGACUCAAAAUUUGAAACUUUUAAAACUAAUUUUACUCAAAAUGCUAGAGUGAAUUGUGAGCAACUCAAUAUCGAAGUUGGCCUAUUUAUAGAGUUCCUUGCAUGAGUACAAAUUGACACCUCAUCCUUGCUUAAAUCCAUCUUAAACCUUCUUCUUAAGGCACCUUCGGCUUAUUUUACACCUUAAAAUGCAUGCUAACAAGGUUUUUACACCUCACUAAAACUUUAAGCUGCUUGCCCUUAUCAUAACAUAAUUGUCCAAAACGCAUAGCUAACUUCCAAGGCCAUCACGCCUAACGUCUAUGACACUUAUUUCUCGUCUUAAACUCUUUGGAGAAUAUAAGAUACCUAAAUUCCGGGUCUUACAUUGCAAUUAUUAAACUUAAAACAACAAUAAAAGCCCUUUGAUGUACCCUUUAUGUAAUCACACAAGUAGUUUUUUAAAAAAACAACUAAUUAAAAAAUAAAAUUAAAAGUGAGACCUAUGGACUCAAAUAUUUUUGCUUUCAUGGCCAUUGGAUCACAAAAAAAAAAAAAAAAGGUUGAUAUAUCCCUCUCAAACUAGUCUAAUUUCGUCGUAAAAUUACAGUAGAAGUGAAGAAUGAAAACGGAUCAAAAGCAUUUCCAAUUUCUAUAGCAGUUUUUCUUUAAAGAAUACCAAUCGAAUUCAAAAGGCUCAACGACGAAUAUUAUAUUAAUUCAUGGCAAUCUUGUUGCUUCUUGUCGUCUUAAAGGUACGCAUUUCAAUCCACUAUAUUUAUCCUCUUUUUGUAAGUCGUAUUGGUGAUGAUGUCGAUAUAACUGUAAAAUAUCAAAAUCGAAUGUCAUAUUCAAAGUAAAGACUAUGCGUGUAAAAGCAAUCAACAUUCACUAUGAAACAAGGUUUGAAAGGUACAAACUCUUAUUUAUAUCAAAUUUUAAAUUGGGUAUAUUCCAAACUUUUAUGCCACAAAUUAAAUUAUGAAUGAUUUGAAUUUGUAUCAAAUUAAAAUUUGGUUAUAUUCCAAACUUCCCCCUCAAAUUUAAAUCAUAUCAAGUUUGAUACGUCAAAUUGAGUCAAAAAUUUUAAUUUAUAUUUUGAGAUCCAUCUCUUCAUAAAUCGAAUAAAAGAAGGAAAAAAAUUUAAAUCGAUAACAAAUUGUCACGACGUUAAUUUUGAAAAAUAUAAUUUAGUACCAAAUAAAAAUUGAACUUAGAAUAAUUAAAAAGUUGUUAUUCAUUUGGUCAAAUUAAAAAUAUAUAUAUAUAUCUAUAAAAUUUGUCACUCACAUUAAAAGAGCUAAAAUAUAUAAACAAUGUUAUGAGAUUAUAUUUCCAAAAUUUACAUAAUAUAAUAAACUCUAUAUUUUAUUUGUUCAAUUUUCAAUACACAUAUUUUUAUAUUAUAUUAAUGGAAACGCCCAAUUUUGUGCCGUUCGAAUUCAAAACCCUAAACCAAAACCCUCAUUCAAUCCAAUCCCGAAAUGUUCAAAAUUUCCUCCACAUUUCUUCUUCAUUUCAUCCAUAAACGUUCUCUCAAUACCGUUUCUACUUCUACAUUGCCUUUACCCUCCGUUUCUACCAUCCAAUUCCUCACUAAUUCAUGUGGCCUUUCUUCUGGAUCUCCUACUUCCAAAGGUCGAAAGCUCCAAUUCGAUGGAAAAAGCAUCCAGAAGUACGAAGCCAUUAUCGGUUUCUUGAAAUCACAUGGAUUCGAGAAUUCACAGAUCGCCAAGUUGGUCUCGAAGCAACCUUCGAUCCUUCAAUCCAAAGUAUCCAAUAAUCUGAAGCCUAAAUUUGAGUUCCUCCAGGAAGUCGGUUUCGUCGGUCCUUUACUUCCUAAGCUAAUUCUAUCGAACCCUGGGAUUCUUAUCAGGAGCUUAGAUUCUCAGUUGAAACC
This 4690-nucleotide long non-coding RNA is filed under the name Cucumis sativus (cucumber). RNAcentral's name for it is "long non-coding RNA (CSAT_LNC002058)". Lineage: Eukaryota; Viridiplantae; Streptophyta; Magnoliopsida; Cucurbitales; Cucurbitaceae. The record is from RNAcentral.